GCCACCGUAGCUCAGUUGGUAGAGCGGCUCACUCGUAAUGAGCAGGUCGUCGGUUCGAGUCCGACCGGUGGCU
RNAcentral lists this transfer RNA (73 nucleotides) under Ardenticatenia bacterium. Its description in RNAcentral is "tRNA-Thr". It matches the Rfam family "tRNA". Rfam says of the family: Transfer RNA (tRNA) molecules are approximately 80 nucleotides in length. Their secondary structure includes four short double-helical elements and three loops (D, anti-codon, and T loops). Lineage: Bacteria; Bacillati; Chloroflexota; Ardenticatenia. The record is from RNAcentral.